This is a small nucleolar RNA of Plectropomus leopardus (leopard coralgrouper), 180 nucleotides long. RefSeq annotates it as small nucleolar RNA SNORA23. NCBI's taxonomy places the organism in Eukaryota, Metazoa, Chordata, Actinopteri, Perciformes, Serranidae. The record is from RefSeq and is a predicted model, not a curated record.
GGUGGACGGUGUGCACAGUGCAAGUCUGUGUUAUGUGCUGUUGCCUGACUGCGUUUUGCAGGCUGGGCAGCAGUGCUCACGCCACACCUGCAGCCAUAGAGUACCUGGAGAUCAUAGUACUGGUCUUUGACGUCUUUCUGACAUCUCACCAUCGGCCAGCCUCCAAACUCUCCAACAUGC